AUACGUAGGGGGCGAGCGUUGUCCGGAAUGAUUGGGCGUAAAGGGCGCGUAGGCGGCCCGGUAAGUCUGGAGUGAAAGUCCUGUUUUUAAGAUGGGAAUUGCUUUGGAUACUGUCGGGCUUGAGUGCAGGAGAGGUAAGUGGAAUUCCCAGUGUAGCGGUGAAAUGCGUAGAGAUUGGGAGGAACACCAGUGGCGAAGGCGACUUACUGGACUGUAACUGACGCUGAGGCGCGAAAGUGUGGGGAGCAACCAGGAUUAGAUACCCUGGUAGUCCACACUGUAAACGAUGAAUGCUAGGUGUAGGGGGUAUCGACCCCUUCUGUGCCGCAGUCAACACAAUAAGCAUUCCGCCUGGGGAGUACGGCCGCAAGGUUGGAACUCAAAUGAAUUGACGGGG
This 397-nucleotide ribosomal RNA is filed under the name uncultured bacterium. RNAcentral describes it as "partial 16S ribosomal RNA". It matches the Rfam family "Bacterial small subunit ribosomal RNA", at positions 523 to 918 of the family's 1533-position model. The record is from RNAcentral.